RNAcentral lists this ribosomal RNA (915 nucleotides) under uncultured bacterium. Its description in RNAcentral is "bacterial SSU rRNA". It matches the Rfam family "Bacterial small subunit ribosomal RNA", at positions 9 to 903 of the family's 1533-position model. The record is from RNAcentral.
CAGUUUGAUCCUGGCUCAGAUUGAACGCUAGCGGCAUGCUUAACACAUGCAAGUCGAAACGGUAACAGGCCUAGCUUGCUAGGUGCUGACGAGUGGGCGGACGGGUGAGUAACGCGUAGGAAUCUACCUAGUAGUGGGGGAUAAACCUGGUGAAAACCCAGGCUAAUACCCGCAUAAGCCCUAAGGGGGAAAGCAGGGGACCGUAAGGCCCUUGUGCUAUUAGAUGAGCCUGCGUCAGAUUAGCUUGUUGGUGGGGUAAAGGCCUACCAAGGCGAUGAUCUGUAGCUGGUCUGAGAGGACGACCAGCCACACUGGGACUGAGACUCGGCCCAGACUCCUACGGGAGGCAGCAGUGGGGAAUAUUGGACAAUGGGCGCAAGCCUGAUCCAGCAAUGCCGCGUGUGUGAAGAAGGCCUGCGGGUUGUAAAGCACUUUCAGUGGGGAGGAAGGUCUCGAUAUUAAUACUAUUGAGAAUUGACGUUACCCACAGAAGAAGCACCGGCUAACUCUGUGCCAGCAGCCGCGGUAAUACAGAGGGUGCAAGCGUUAAUCGGAAUUACUGGGCGUAAAGGGUGCGUAGGUGGUUUUUUAAGUCAGAUGUGAAAAGCCCUGGGCUCAACCUAGGAAUUGCAUUUGAUACUGAAUAACUUGAGUAUGGUAGAGGGAAAGUGGAAUUUCCAGUGUAGCGGUGAAAUGCGUAGAUAUUGGAAGGAACAUCAGUGGGCGAAGGCGACUUUCCUGGACCAUUACUGACACUGAGGCACGAAAAGCGUGGGGAGCGAACAGGAUUAGAUACCCUGGUAGUCCACGCCGUAAACGAUGAGAACUAGAUGUUAGGGGGCUUAGACCUCUUAGUAUCGCAGCAAACGCGUUAAGUUCUCCGCCUGGGGAGUACGGCCGCAAGGUUAAAACUCA